Papaver somniferum (opium poppy) is the source of this 603-nucleotide long non-coding RNA. RefSeq lists it as uncharacterized. Lineage: Eukaryota; Viridiplantae; Streptophyta; Magnoliopsida; Ranunculales; Papaveraceae. The record is from RefSeq and is a predicted model, not a curated record. The transcript is spliced from 3 exons.
UUUGUGGAAUUCGUCUUAUUGUAAGCAGGUGUAGGUGGAUUUAGUAGAAGCUGCAGUUUGGCAGCCGUCGCCAUUGCUUGUUCAUGGUUGUGGAUUUCGAGUAGAUAUGUUCUCAUUUUGUAUUUUUUUAAUACCUUGAUGUAUUUUUAUAUCAAUGUGAUGGGUUUCUUCCUUAUUUUUAUUUCCCACCAGAGAUUGUUCCCUUUGAUCAACUGAUUACGCUUCAGCCUGGAACAAAAGGCGCCAUUACCUGUUGGAAUCGUUGGAUAAAGGAUGCUUUUGGGGGAGGAAAGAAAGAAGGAAAAGAUAGGAUCAAUUGAUUCAAUCAUCAAUUUUUUUCUUCUUCUAAUCACAGCUCCCAUGUAGGAUAGGGGGAAUGAAGGUCAUAUAUGAUAAAGAAGGGUCCUCGCUGCAUGCUGCUACGCUCGCAACCCUAAAUGUUGUAACACGGUGAAAGGAUGAAGGUUAACUGCUAAACCAUCCUAUGCAAAUCCGACCGUUAUUCAGCAAGAUAGCUUGGCGUGGUUGAUAUUUGUGUCAUUCUGUGCAGAUUAGAGUGGUAGUGUCGAUAUCAUGAAUGUUGGAUUUUUUGUAUUUUUGAUG